CUCUGGUCUUCGUGGCGGGUGGCGGCCGGUCCCGUUAGGUUUGCGGAAGCGAUGGCGGCAUGCGUGUUGAGGCUGCUGACCACUCUCCUGGCUGCCGCCUCCGCCGCCUCCCCGGCCGAGGUUGAAUCCGAGGCGGGAUGGGACAUGGUGGCGCCUGAUCUACUUUUUGCGGAGGGGACCGCGGCCUAUGCGCGCGGGGACUGGCCCGCGGUGGUACUGAGCAUGGAGCGGGCGUUGCGCUCCCGGGCAGCCCUGCGCUCCCUCCGCCUGCGCUGCCGCACCCGGUGUGCCGCGGAUCUGCCGUGGGACCUGGACCCCUACUCGCCCCCGAGCUCUGGCCAAUCAUCGGGCGCCGCCGCCCUGCACGACCUACGUUUCUUCGGGGGCCUGCUGCGCCGUGCCGCCUGUCUGCGCCGCUGCCUGGGGCCGCCGAGCGCCCACUCGCUCAGCGAGGAGCUGGAGUUCGAGUUCCGCAAACGAAGCCCUUACAAUUACCUGCAGGUCGCCUACUUCAAGAUAAACAAGUUGGAGAAAGCUGUGGCAGCAGCACACACCUUCUUUGUGGGCAACCCGGAGCACGUGGAGAUGCGUCAGAACCUAGACUAUUACCAAACCAUGUCUGGGGUGAAGGAGACCGACUUCAAGGAUCUUGAGGCCAAACCCCAUAUGCACGACUUUCGAUUGGGAGUGCGACUGUACUCAGAGGAGCAGCCGCAGGAAGCCGUGCGCCACCUAGAGGCGGCGCUGCAAGAAUACUUCGUGGCCUACGAGGAGUGCCAUGCACUCUGCGAGGGGCCCUACGACUACGACGGCUACAACUACCUCGACUACAAUGCUGACCUCUUCCAAGCCAUCACAGAUCAUUACAUCCAGGUCCUCAGCUGUAAGCAGAACUGUGUCACCGAGCUUGCCACCCACCCCAGCCGAGAGAAGCCCUUUGAAGACUUCCUGCCAUCGCAUUAUAAUUAUCUGCAGUUUGCCUACUAUAACAUCGGGAAUUAUACACAGGCUGUUGAAUGUGCCAAGACCUAUCUUCUCUUCUUCCCCAAUGAUGAGGUGAUGAGCCAGAAUCUGGCCUAUUACACAGCUGUGCUUGGAGAGGAGCAAGCCAGAUCCAUUGGUCCCCGUGAGAGUGCCCAGGAGUACCGACAGCGAAGCCUGGUGGAGAAAGAACUGCUUUUCUUCGCUUACGAUGUUUUUGGAAUUCCCUUUGUUGAUCCGGAUUCAUGGACUCCAGAGGAGGUGAUCCCCAAGAGACUACUAGAGAAACAGAAAUCAGAACGGGAAACAGCCGUACGCAUCUCUCAGGAGAUCGGAAACCUUAUGAAGGAAAUUGAGACACUUGUGGAAGAGAAGACUAAGGAGUCGGUGGAUGUGAGCAUGCUGGUUCGGGAAGGUGGCUCCCUGCUCUAUGAAGGAAUCAGUCUCACCAUGAACUCCAAGCUCCUGAAUGGUUCCCAGCGGGUGGUAAUAGAUGGUGUAAUCUCUGAUGAUGAGUGUCAGGAGCUGCAGAGACUGACUAAUGCAGCAGCAACUGCAGGAGAUGGCUACCGGGGCCAAACCUCCCCACACACCCCCAACGAAAAGUUCUAUGGCGUGACUGUCUUCAAAGCCCUCAAGCUGGGACAGGAAGGGAAAGUUCCCCUUCAGAGUGCCCACCUGUACUACAACGUGACCGAGAAGGUGCGACGCAUCAUGGAGUCCUACUUCCGCCUGGAUACACCCCUCUACUUUUCCUACUCCCACCUGGUGUGCCGCACUGCGAUCGAAGAGUCACAGGCUGAGAGGAAGGACAGUAGCCACCCAGUUCACGUGGACAACUGCAUCCUGAACGCCGAGGCCCUCGUGUGCAUCAAGGAGCCCCCUGCCUACACUUUCCGGGACUACAGUGCCAUUCUUUACCUAAAUGGGGACUUUGAUGGAGGAAACUUUUACUUCACUGAACUAGAUGCCAAGACUGUGACGGCGGAGGUGCAGCCCCAGUGUGGAAGGGCUGUGGGAUUCUCGUCUGGCACUGAGAACCCACAUGGAGUGAAGGCCGUCACCAGGGGGCAGCGCUGUGCCAUUGCCCUGUGGUUCACCUUGGACCCUCGCCACAGUGAGCGGGAACCAGGCCCAGAGAAGCUAAGGAACUUGCUGAAUGUCACACAGCUCCUCAGUGGCAGAGCUACAGCUAGAACCCUGGCUUCUGGUCCUGUACAUGAAAACACUUUACGGUGAAGUGUGACACCUCAGGGGGGUUUACACUUAGUUCUCAUGUGGACGUUGGGGAGGGACCCUGGGUCUAUCUCUUCUCCCUGCGUGCCUGGGAGCCACUGGGUUGGGAGGGGCCCUGGGUGGAGAAGCCACACCAGGCUAGGGAGCUGCACCCAGAGGGGAGAAGAUCUGAAUCCCAAAAGGCUUUGAACAUUAUUGAGGGAAGGCCAUGAGAGUAAGAAAGGCAAUUUUGGCAGAACACCCAAAACCUCAAAUAACAGAGGUGGGAUAAACAGAAGAGCCUCAGAGGAAGAUGUGAGCAUUGUUCUAGGUCACAAAGGAGCUCUGGGGGGCAGGCUGGAGGAGCCCACUGGGCACUCUGAUGCCCCCAAGGCCUUAGAGCCACAGACCUGGGCCCUGAGGAGGCUGAGUGACCCCAAGCAGCACACUGCCCCUCUCAGCUUCCUCACUUGUCAACAGAGGGGGUUGCAGUCCACGGUCUCUGCCGGCCUGUGUGGCUGUGACCCUUGGCUUCUGGGUUGUGCUAAAGAUAUUGAGGCUCCAGAGCACAGGGACCUGACCCAGGUCCUCCUAGAAACCUGGGAUGAUCCCUGGAUCUUCCUUACAGAGCGAGCCCCUGCAGAAGGCAGGGAGAAGGGGCCUGCCAAGGCCCAAGGUGGGAGAGGAGGGGACCUCAGCCCUUUGGGAAAUGUGCUAAGUGGCCGCUAUGUGCAGGGUACCCUGCCCGCCCGCUAAUAUCAUCACAACCCUGUGAAGCAGAUGUCCCCGUUAGAGGAGAGGAAAUUGAGGCUGUGCAGUUCAGCCACCCCUCACCUCUAGGAUGCAUCUAUGACUGCCCCUCUCCCCCAUUCUCCCUCCCAGAAAGGCCGUGGGAGCCCACAGAUCUGAGCGGGAAGCCCUCCCUGGCAAUUCUUAGUUUGGGGUAAGCUGUCUCCCUCAGCAGAGGUUUUCUUAUCUGCAGAGAUCAGCCUACCUGGAAGGGCUGCCUCGAGGAUUCAAUGAAUUAAUAUGUAAAACGCACCAGGGACAAGACACAGGGUCCUUACUGCACACACAGGAGUCCCGUGUCUUUCUGUCUCCUCUUCCCACUCUGGCUGCCCUGCUCCCCCUGAACGCAGUGCCUGUGGCAGAAGGAGAAUUUGAACUCACGACUGACUUCUCUACACCUGUUCUAGACCCUGUGUGCUUUUUGGGACCCACGGGCAGUUCUGGGAAACAGGCCGUCCUGGAGCUGUGAGCCAGGGCCAAGGUGCCCCAAGUCCCAGCAGGAGCUGCUAAGCUAGCCAGCAAGGGGAUUAAGCAUGCCAGGUCGGUACUGUCUCCUGC
This is an RNA transcript of Loxodonta africana (African savanna elephant), 3543 nucleotides long. It is a transcript of the gene named prolyl 3-hydroxylase 1, with no coding region annotated. The transcript has 16 exons. The record is from RefSeq and is a predicted model, not a curated record. Lineage: Eukaryota; Metazoa; Chordata; Mammalia; Proboscidea; Elephantidae.